Molecule: ribosomal RNA, 911 nt
Filed under: uncultured bacterium
Lineage: Bacteria
Description: bacterial SSU rRNA
Rfam family: Bacterial small subunit ribosomal RNA
Source: RNAcentral
AGAGUUUGAUCCUGGCUCAGGAUGAACGCUGGCGGCGUGCCUAAUACAUGCAAGUCGAGCGAACAGACAAGGAGCUUGCUCCUUUGACGUUAGCGGCGGACGGGUGAGUAACACGUGGGUAACCUACCUAUAAGACUGGGAUAACUUCGGGAAACCGGAGCUAAUACCGGAUAAUAUUUCGAACCGCAUGGUUCGAUAGUGAAAGAUGGUUUUGCUAUCACUUAUAGAUGGACCCGCGCCGUAUUAGCUAGUUGGUAAGGUAACGGCUUACCAAGGCGACGAUACGUAGCCGACCUGAGAGGGUGAUUGGCCACACUGGAACUGAGACACGGUCCAGACUCCUACGGGAGGCAGCAGUAGGGAAUCUUCCGCAAUGGGCGAAAGCCUGACGGAGCAACGCCGCGUGAGUGAUGAAGGUCUUCGGAUCGUAAAACUCUGUUAUUAGGGAAGAACAUACGUGUAAGUAACUAUGCACGUCUUGACGGUACCUAAUCAGAAAGCCACGGCUAACUACGUGCCAGCAGCCGCGGUAAUACGUAGGUGGCAAGCGUUAUCCGGAAUUAUUGGGCGUAAAGCGCGCGUAGGCGGUUUUUUAAGUCUGAUGUGAAAGCCCACGGCUCAACCGUGGAGGGUCAUUGGAAACUGGAAAACUUGAGUGCAGAAGAGGAAAGUGGAAUUCCAUGUGUAGCGGUGAAAUGCGCAGAGAUAUGGAGGAACACCAGUGGCGAAAGCGACUUUCUGGUCUGUAACUGACGCUGAUGUGCGAAAGCGUGGGGAUCAAACAGGAUUAGAUACCCUGGUAGUCCACGCCGUAAACGAUGAGUGCUAAGUGUUAGGGGGUUUCCGCCCCUUAGUGCUGCAACUAACGCAUUAAGCACUCGGCUGGGGAGUACGACCGCAAGGUUGAAACU